UACGUAGGGACCAAGCGUUGUUCGGAUUUACUGGGCGUAAAGGGCGCGUAGGCGGUGUGUCAAGUCAGGCGUGAAAGCCCCGGGCUCAACCUGGGAACCGCGCUUGAGACUGGCACGCUCGAGUUCGGGAGAGGAUGGUGGAAUUCCCAGUGUAGAGGUGAAAUUCGUAGAUAUUGGGAAGAACACCGAUGGCGAAGGCAGCCAUCUGGACCGACACUGACGCUGAGGCGCGAAAGCGUGGGGAGCAAACAGG
RNAcentral lists this ribosomal RNA (253 nucleotides) under uncultured bacterium. RNAcentral's name for it is "partial 16S ribosomal RNA". It matches the Rfam family "Bacterial small subunit ribosomal RNA", at positions 524 to 776 of the family's 1533-position model. The record is from RNAcentral.